UACGUAGGGUGCAAGCGUUGUCCGGAAUCACUGGGUGUAAAGGGUCUGUAGGCGGGCAAGUAAGUCGGUGGUGAAAUCCUAUGGCUCAACCAUAGAACUGCCUCCGAAACUACUUGUCUUGAGUUCGAGAGAGGAUGAUGGAAUUCAUGGUGUAGCGGUGAAAUGCGUAGAUAUCAUGAAGAACACCAGUAGCGAAGGCGGUCAUCUGGCUCGAUACUGACGCUGAGGGACGAAAGCGUGGGUAGCAAACAGG
Molecule: ribosomal RNA, 253 nt
Filed under: uncultured bacterium
Lineage: Bacteria
Description: partial 16S ribosomal RNA
Rfam family: Bacterial small subunit ribosomal RNA
Source: RNAcentral